AUUGAACGCUGGCGGCAGGCCUAACACAUGCAAGUCGAACGGUAACAGGAAACAGCUUGCUGUUUCGCUGACGAGUGGCGGACGGGUGAGUAAUGUCUGGGAAACUGCCUGAUGGAGGGGGAUAACUACUGGAAACGGUAGCUAAUACCGCAUAACGUCGCAAGACCAAAGAGGGGGACCUUCGGGCCUCUUGCCAUCGGAUGUGCCCAGAUGGGAUUAGCUUGUUGGUGGGGUAACGGCUCACCAAGGCGACGAUCCCUAGCUGGUCUGAGAGGAUGACCAGCCACACUGGAACUGAGACACGGUCCAGAGUCCUACGGGAGGCAGCAGUGGGGUUUAUUGCACAAUGGGCGCAAGCAUGAUGCAGCCAUGCCGCGUGUAUGAAGAAGGCCUUCGGGUUGUAAAGUACUUUCAGCGGGGAGGAAGGUGCUGAGGUUAAUAACCUCAGCAAUUGACGUUACCCGCAGAAGAAGCACCGGCUAACUACGUGCCAGCCGCCGCGGUAA
This 506-nucleotide ribosomal RNA is filed under the name uncultured bacterium. Its description in RNAcentral is "partial 16S ribosomal RNA". It matches the Rfam family "Bacterial small subunit ribosomal RNA", at positions 30 to 523 of the family's 1533-position model. The record is from RNAcentral.